This 468-nucleotide ribosomal RNA is filed under the name uncultured bacterium. Its description in RNAcentral is "partial 16S ribosomal RNA". It matches the Rfam family "Bacterial small subunit ribosomal RNA", at positions 28 to 507 of the family's 1533-position model. The record is from RNAcentral.
GACGAACGCUGGCGGCGUGCUUAACACAUGCAAGUCGAACGGAAAGGCCCUGCUUUUGUGGGGUGCUCGAGUGGCGAACGGGUGAGUAACACGUGAGUAACCUGCCCUUGACUUUGGGAUAACUUCAGGAAACUGGGGCUAAUACCGGAUAGGAGCUCCUGCUGCAUGGUGGGGGUUGGAAAGUUUCGGCGGUUGGGGAUGGACUCGCGGCUUAUCAGCUUGUUGGUGGGGUAGUGGCUUACCAAGGCUUUGACGGGUAGCCGGCCUGAGAGGGUGAACGGCGUCAUGACGACUACGGUAGGCCGCAGUAGGCUAUGGGACGCAACAGUGGAAAGUCUUACACAAUAGGCGGGAGCGUGAGGAGGCGGCGCCGCGUGCGUAAUAACGGGCUUCGAGUUGUAAACCACUUUCGCCGUUGCCGAAGCGUGAGUGACGGUAAUUGAUCAAAAAGCACCGGCUAACUACGUG